UAUAGAAAAUUCAUCAUUAUGAUUUUAAUAUUUAUAAUAUUAUAAUAAUGGUGUGCAUUUUUUCUAUAAAAGGACAUUGUAAUCUAUUAACAUAAUUAUAUUUAUCAUAAGAUCAAUUCGCGAAAGUUUAUUCAAAUUAUUUUGUUUUUUCAAAUUAAUAUCGAAUAAAUGCAUUUGAUUUGAUAAAGUGUUGAUAGAUUUAUUAUAUAUAGUGCUUAAAUAUUUAUAUUUUAUAAUAGCAUAUUAAUCAUUGAUUUUUAUGUUCAUUAUAUGCACUUAUAUGAUUAACAAUGCGAAAGAUUCAGGAGACCUUCGGGACCCGUCUUGAAACACGGACCAAGGAGUCUAACAUAUUUGCAAGUUAUUGGGUAUUAAAACCUAAUAGCGAAAUUAACAUAACUAUUAUAAUGGGAUUAGUUUUUAGCCUAUUUAUAGUCUAUUAAUUCAAUCCCGGGGCGUUCUAUCAGUUAUACAUAAUAAUAUUUAUAUUAUUUAUGCCUCUAACUAGAGCGUACCUUGAGCAUAU
RNAcentral lists this ribosomal RNA (526 nucleotides) under Rhinomorinia sarcophagina. RNAcentral's name for it is "eukaryotic LSU rRNA". Lineage: Eukaryota; Metazoa; Arthropoda; Insecta; Diptera; Rhinophoridae. The record is from RNAcentral.